Molecule: ribosomal RNA, 119 nt
Filed under: Nelumbo nucifera (sacred lotus)
Lineage: Eukaryota; Viridiplantae; Streptophyta; Magnoliopsida; Proteales; Nelumbonaceae
Source: RNAcentral
GGGUGCGAUCAUACCAGCACUAAUGAAUUGGAUCCCAUCAGAACUCCGAAGUUAAGCGUGCUUGGGCGAGAGUAGUACUAGAAUGGGUGACCUCUUGGGAAGUCCUCGUGUUGCACCCC